CACCUCUAGCAUUACAAGUAUUAGAGGCAUUGCCUGCCCAGUGACUAUAGUUAAACGGCCGCGGUAUCCUGACCGUGCAAAGGUAGCAUAAUCAUUUGUUCCUUAAUUAGGGACUAGUAUGAAUGGCUAGACGAGGGAUCAACUGUCUCUUAUUUUCAAUCAGUGAAAUUGACCUUCCAGUGAAGAGGCUGGAAUACAAUAAUAAGACGAGAAGACCCUAUGGAGCUUAAAUUAACAAGCUUAAUUAUUACCUAAAUACCCUAAUGGAACAAAACAAAAAAUAUAAGCUUAAAAUUUUGGUUGGGGUGACCUCGGAGAACAAAAAAUCCUCCGAAAGAUAUAUAACAUAGACCUACAAGUCAAAGUAACUCAGUUAUCUUAUUGACCCAAAAAUUGAUCAACGGACCAAGUUACCCUAGGGAUAACAGCGCAAUCCUAUUUAAGAGUCCAUAUCGACAAUAGGGUUUACGACCUCGAUGUUGGAUCAGGACAUCCCAAUGGUGCAGAAGCUAUUAAUGGUUCGUUUGUUCAACG
RNAcentral lists this ribosomal RNA (534 nucleotides) under Hylomyscus pamfi. Its description in RNAcentral is "partial 16S ribosomal RNA". It matches the Rfam family "Bacterial large subunit ribosomal RNA", at positions 1816 to 2586 of the family's 2925-position model. The record is from RNAcentral. Lineage: Eukaryota; Metazoa; Chordata; Mammalia; Rodentia; Muridae.